AGACCCAGGCGCGGCGUUUUACCUGCAGCGGCUGUGCUCGCCCCGCCGCGACCCCCGCAGGACGGAGCCGGAUCCCCCUGCACUCGGGCGGACCUGGGACCCUCAGAGGCGAGCCGGCUGCCUCGGGUCACACAUCCGCAAACUCCGGGGGCGGGCUCACCAGGACGCCGCCGACCCCCCACGACCCCCAGCCCUCCCGCUUCCGUGGAAAGCCGCCCCGACGACCCCUGUGCGGGCUGUUGAGGGGCCGCACCCCGCCGACCGCUGUGGGAACACCUCCGCGCGUGCGGCGGGGACGCGGCGAGUCCGGGGCAGGAAGAACGCACGGAUGGAGACAACAGGAAGGAAAGAGACCUUCCUCGUCACACUUGGGCCGCAGGAGAACAGGCAGCGGCCCAGGAGGAUCCAGGGUCCUGAUGGUGGUUGAGAAGCUGGUUCUUAGUGAUCACUCAGAAACGUCGGCCUGGCCUUGUGGGGUCAGACCUUGCAUCUCAGUCAGCCCAGGGAGAAGAAGAAGAUGGUCCACACCCAAGUGCAGGGAACAUCGUGGCAGCCAGCUGGGUGCCUGCGUCCAGGCAAGGACACCUCCCGCAUCAGGGAAACACACGUUUCUGGAGUGAGGAGGCUGAAGGCAGGGCCCAGAGGAGAGCCGAGCCAUGGAAGGAGGCGUGUGCAUGGAUGGUGAGCUAGAGCAGGUGCAGGUGCCUCAGGGAGGAUGUGUGGGAUGAACUGACUCAGGGAAACCAUAAGAAAUGCUUUCACCAAACAGGAGAAACCUGAAGGUCUGGAUCCAGAGCCUCAGAUCUUACACUGGCAGCACACAGGGACACAGCAGCUGGACUGGCAGCAGCGGGGCUUGCAGCAGCUGGACUGGCAGCAGGAUGAUCCACAGCCUGAGGAGCAGCAACAGGGCUUACAGCAACUGCACUGGGAGCAGCCACAGGAGCCACAGCCCCCCUUGGAACCCCCACAGGAGCCACAGCCCCCCUUGGAACCCCCACAGGAGCCACAGGCCCCCUUGGAACCCCCACAGGAGACACAGCCCCCCUUGGAGCCCCCACAAGAGCCACAGCCCCCCUUGGAGCCCCCACAGGAGCCACAGCUGGGGCAGGAACAGGCUGGCACCCAGGAGCACACGGGCUUGCAGCAGCAGACAGGCACAUAACAGCUGGAGCCACAUCCCCCACAGCUGGAGCCGCAGCCCCCACAGCCGGAGCCACAGCCCCCACAGCCGGAGCCACAGCCCCCACAGCCGGAGCCACAGCCUCCGGAGCAGCCACAGCAGCCCAUGGUUCUGGUGGAUUGAGGGUGGAGCAGGUAGAGGAGCAGGUGAGAGGGAGGUGCAGGUGUGGAGCUCCCUGAGCCUGGGCUCUUUAUAUACCUGUCCAGAUGUCAGGCAUGACACAGGGUCCCUUUCUUGUGACUGUUUACACUAUUUUUCCAGAGCUCUAUUUUUUUCCUCUUUGCUAGUGACUUCCUCCUGGCUCAGUUGAGCAUCUACUUUCUUUGUUUUCUAAAUUUGUCUUUUUCCCCAUUUGUUUUGGCCCCUACAAUGAAAACCUCAGCUCCAGGCUGUCUGGUUCUUCCUGCAAAGCUCCGGGGUGCCGGUCACCUGCUCUCUGCUGACCACAUGUGACCAAUGGGCAACAGCCUCUGCCCACGUGCUCUCAUCUUUCCUGUGUUGACUCCCUCAAUAAUAUUAAUUUUACAUUUUUAGAUUUCAAAAUUAUCCACGAUCUUUAUACUCAUGCCAGUCUCAGCUUUCCGGGUGUGUUAGACCAUUCUUUGCAUUGCUCUAAAGAAAUACUUGAGGCUGGGUAAUUUAUAAAGGAAAGAGGUUAGAAUGGCUCAUGGUUCUGCAGGCUGCACAAGCAUGGCACCCACCUCUGCUCAGCUUCUGGGGAGGCCCUCAGGGAGUUUUCCUCACGGUGGAAGGCGAAGCAGGAACAGGCACGCCACAUGGUGAGAGUGGGAGCAAGGGGUGAGGAGGGGCCACACACUUGUGAACAACCAGAUCUGAGUGAACACACUCAUCGCCAAGGGGGUGGCACUAAGUCACUCAUGAGGGAUCCACCCCCAUGACCCAGACACCUCCCUGCAGGCCCCUCCUUCAACACUG
This 2119-nucleotide non-coding RNA is filed under the name Pan troglodytes (chimpanzee). The record is from RNAcentral. Lineage: Eukaryota; Metazoa; Chordata; Mammalia; Primates; Hominidae.